Molecule: small RNA, 26 nt
Filed under: Bombyx mori (domestic silkworm)
Lineage: Eukaryota; Metazoa; Arthropoda; Insecta; Lepidoptera; Bombycidae
Description: ovarian small RNA-20488
Source: RNAcentral
UACAUUGGUUUGAUGAUUGGGUGCAA